This 656-nucleotide long non-coding RNA is filed under the name Phoenix dactylifera (date palm). Its description in RNAcentral is "long non-coding RNA (PDAC_LNC009543)". The record is from RNAcentral. Lineage: Eukaryota; Viridiplantae; Streptophyta; Magnoliopsida; Arecales; Arecaceae.
AGUUGAUUUGUUAUUAUGGACAGUUAUUAUGAUUGGUGAACUUUUAUUAUUUUAAGAACUAGGUUUCUGCAUGUUGGUAAAUGAUUAUUCCGCUGCAUAUUUAGACUUGUGAGACAUUAUGACUUGAGUUAGUCAAUGGAAUAAGAUUUCAAUUUAUUCUGUUAAAUUAUUUUGGAAUUUCAUAAUUGAGGUGUUUGAUUUAGAUGCCUUGCAUGCUCGUGGGGAGAGUUUCCUACGGGUGUGCGGCGGUUGGCGCGACCCCCGGCCCGCGAUCUCGGGACGGGGGCGUGACAUGUAGAUACCUCAUGGCAUCCUCUCCCAAGUUCCUUAUGCCUAAUUAAUAAGUAAUCAAGUACUAAAACUAUACUCCAUGGCUUUAAUUGGUCUACUUCUAUCUAACCAACUCUUUCUAGUUCAAUUGAGCUUUAAUUGAUUCAAGGUCCUAACAUAUAUCGCCUUCAAUUGAUCAACAACAACUUUGAUUCCAUCUAAUUGAGUCCAAUUGCACCAGUUUAUUGAUUUUUCCAAAAACUCGAACCAAAAUCCCACUCUCUAGCCCAAUUCAUCCCAUAAGUUCCUUUUAAAAAUUAGUUAACCUUCCUUCAACCUACAUUCAAUCUCAAAGGACCAUUCCAAACUUCAGUGGAGCAAAAACU